This is a long non-coding RNA of Sinocyclocheilus anshuiensis, 102 nucleotides long. RefSeq lists it as uncharacterized. Lineage: Eukaryota; Metazoa; Chordata; Actinopteri; Cypriniformes; Cyprinidae. The transcript has 3 exons. The record is from RefSeq and is a predicted model, not a curated record.
UUACGUCACUUCUUAGUACACACUGUCGGUGCGAAUGCAACCCUUUAAAUGGUACUGGGAAAUAGUUCGAGCAAAAUCGUCCCAGUUCUUUAGUAUUGUACA